This is a long non-coding RNA of Globicephala melas (long-finned pilot whale), 1310 nucleotides long. RefSeq lists it as uncharacterized. The record is from RefSeq and is a predicted model, not a curated record. NCBI's taxonomy places the organism in Eukaryota, Metazoa, Chordata, Mammalia, Artiodactyla, Delphinidae.
UGUUUACUGAGGACCUACUGUGUGCCCAACCCUGUGGAUACAGAGAUGAACAAAGCCCAGUUCCUGCUCCCAAAGGGCUUCCUGACUAGUGGUGUGACCACCCAUUUAUGAAGAGAGGAAAACUGAGAGCCAAGGGAAGGAAUGGACUUGCCCAGGAUCACACAGCUCAAGGUGAGGAGAUCAAGGGUUGAGCACAAGUCAGCUGCGGAGAUGACAGCAGAGCUGGACCGAGAGCCGGCCUCCGGGCUUUGUCCUCAGCCUCGGUUGCAUCACAUGUGUACCCUCAGGACUUCAAGUACAAUGCUGGAAAGAAGAGUUGAUGUGGACAUUUUUGUCUUGUUCCUGAUUUUAAAGCAAUGCUUCAAAUCUUUCACCUUGAAGAAUGAUGUUUGCUGUAAUUAUUUGAUAAAAGCUCUUUAUCAGGUAGGACGUUUCAUUAUGAAUUGGUGGUAAAUUUUAGCAAAUAUUUUUUGCUACACUUGUUUUGAUAACCAUAUGGUUUUUCUCCUUUAUCCAUUAAUAUGGUGAAUUAUAUUAAUAGCUUUUCUAAUGUUAAAUCACUCUUGUAUAUUCCUAGGAUCAACCUAACUUGACCACAAUACAUUAUCUUUUUUAUACGCUGCUGAAUUCAAUUUCUAGGAUUUUUGCAUCUAGGUGAAGAAAUGAGAUUGGCCUCUAAUUUUCUUGACUAAUUUAAUUUCUUUAUAUUCCUCCAACAGAUUUGUCACUGUAGCUAAGCACAGGUCAAUUAUCUCCAAUUUAGAAGGCCCUUCCUACCACUGCUGGCUCCUAAAUAGCCUUUCCAUUCUGGCUUUCUCUCCUAGCAUCAAUGCAUUGAUGCCUGGGUACCAGCCACAGUAGAGACCAAACACCCCCGCUGGAGGUCAGUGGCAGGCCUGAAGAAGCCAAACCCUUGGCGGUCUGGCUGAUUGUCAAUCCACAUCCCUGCUCUCCUACUCAAAACUCACUUUGUCUAAGAAGCUCUUCUUGAUUACCAGCCUGUGAUCUACUUUGAAGGCGGGGACCAUGUGUUUUCCGUCUUUGUAUCCCCAGGGUCCAGCACAGUGUGUGCACACAGAAGUUGCUCAUAAAUGUUUGGGAAACUGAGUUUACCCAACCCAAUUCUGAGUGCUUCCUGGCUGAGGUGACCCUGAUUUAAUUUUUUUUUUUUUUUCAAAAUAGUCGAGCUUUUUUGCACUCAUUACAGGCAUAGGCUCUGUCUCACAAGACAGACAGUGGUUAUUUUGUAGAUGAGAAUUGUGUCUACUGAGGAAUUGCUUUUGACUUUCCAACUGCAGAGCCUGCCCUUC